CUGGAUGUUAGCACAGAGGCCCAUACGCACAGAUUUCAGUGCAGUUCAGGAGGCACUGCGAAGGGACUGAGUCACUUUGGCAUACCUGUGGGGAUGGGGAGGAAGGGUUGGGUCCAGAAGUGUCAUGUCAGGGAAGGAGGAAUCCUCCUUGUUUCACAUGCAACACAUGGAGAGGAAAGAGAUACUACAGAACAUUUAGGCUUUGACCGGGUGUUUCAGUGGCAAGAAGUUGACUCGACAUUCCUAGAAAACUGCGUGGGUCAAGGAAGAAGAGCCAGGGAGGAUCAAUGUAUUUCAUCAAGAGAAAGAAAGUAAUGCUGGCGUGGAGCCAUAGGAGAAGGACAGCUGGGAUUGAUGCCCGCAAAAGGAAGUUCCCUGUGAAUAAGGAAGGAUGUCAUGCAAGAGUUGGGAACUGUAUGGGAAUGUCCAGGAUUCACUUGGGACUGUGAACCAACACUCCGGCAUAGGGAAUGCUCCCCUGUCAUAAUACUUCUGCCAUAAGAAACCACAAACUUUUUCUAGCUGUUGUCAUUACACUGAAAAAUAGCUACCAAAAUGUAGAAUUUGGUAAAGACCUGUGGACAGAUCCAAGAUAUGACACCGGGAGAAAAUAAGAGAAUCAUUUGACUAAAAGAUUUAAUUUAAAAGUAUAUAUGCUGCAUGGAGAAGUAGGAGAAAACAGCCAAUCGAUAGAUACUUUCUUCAGAGUGGAGGUAAUACUCGGGGAAUGAUUCAUAAAUCACUCAGUGGGAUAAAUUCAGAGAACACCUUGCUAAAAUGUUGGCAAUACAUCCCUGAAAACAGGAUCAGUGCAUAAUAAUGGAGAGGAAGCUAAUAUUUUUCUAAUUCAUCUAACCUUGCAACUUGUAUUAAAUGUGAGCUGGACUGAUAGCACAUGCUGCAUUAUGAUGAUACACUGCUAUACUUUGUGUGCUUGGACUAAGGCAGUUGGACUGUGAAGACUGUUAGGCUCCUGUGGUGGUUUCUUCCACUUCUCUUCUUUGUUUCUUUUUAAUUAAAUAUGUAGUAAAGGAAUUAAUUUAUCAAAGUGAUGGGUUAAAUCCAGGCACACCACGUGUAUACAGCAAGUGACUGCAAACUUCCACACACGGAUCUGCCAGUGCACUUCAGUCUUACCUUUUAGAGCCCACCUCCCUGCUGUCCUGCACAUGCCCAUCUCCACCUCCCGUCUCCACAGACAUCUGACUGCACACCAGGUGUUUCUCCUUCUCCCUCCAAAUCUCCAGCUGCCAUCUAAAUCCUUUUGCCCUCCUCCCUUUACUUCUCAUGGAAUUUAUUUAUGACCGGCACGCUGUCCUUCCUUCGACUGCCUCCCUGUUCCUCCAUUGUACCACGCUGAGGAAACCCUUGUUUAACAGAAGUCAGUGAAAUCAGUAAAGUAAAACAAACGUCUGUUUCACAGUUUUCCUUUAUUGCAUUAAAUAGUGAAGAGAAACAACUGAGAAAUGCAAACAACAUUUUAUAAAGCAGAAUUUUUACUUUAAAAUGCAUGAGAUAAAUAAAAACCAAAUGUUUAGGAAUGUGGCA
This is a long non-coding RNA of Struthio camelus australis, 1548 nucleotides long. The record is from Ensembl. Lineage: Eukaryota; Metazoa; Chordata; Aves; Struthioniformes; Struthionidae.